GCCUACUUAACACAAAGACAGUGAGGAUGAAGACCUUUAUCAUGAGCCACUUCCACAUAAUGAAUGAUGCCACAGCCAUGACCCUUACAAUGGGUGAGAUUUUUUUCUACCCUACAAUGAAUAUUUGAAUGUUCUACAAUCUAGGUACUCAAACUGUGGCCCAACUGCUGGUAGCAUUGGUAUCAACUGGAAGCUUGUUGGAAAUGUAGAAUCUCAGAUCUCACCCCGGAAUGGACUACAGACUCAGACUCUGCAUUUUAAUAAGAUUCACAAUUCACAGGAUUUAUCAUAUCCAGAGGAUGUAUAAACUGAUUCUACAAAAAAGACCUGACACACCUUGUGAAUAAGGACUUUCCUCAUCUACAGCCUGUUGAACUGAUGCUGUUAAUAGUAUAAAAUAAUAAGAUGGCUGAUCCUGCAAAGAGGCGUGGUGACAUCAACAGUGACUCAGUCUCUAUGAUGGUAUUAGUAACUGGCAGCUGACUCUCCUAUUUAUCAUCGAGUUAUGUUCCAUAUAAGACUUUCAAGUCUGAGAAAAAUGACAAAUCCCUUCCAGGCAUGGUUCAAGUUAAAGCUGAAACUGUGUCUUCGUUUCAGCUCAAGAGAGGUUUUGAUUGUGUCGUGGCUUUUCCUUGUGUAUUGGUUGAGGAACUGUGCCUUGGAGGGGUAGGGAGUCUUGAGAAUGGAUCAACUGAUGGAGGGGGAGUGGAAGACAUUGGUCGCCCAAGAAAAUAUGUCAACAUCUGUCCAUCACUACAACUCUGGCCCGAUUAUCAUUUUUUCUGCUUCUGUAAGCACCAAUGAGACAAUGCCACUGAGCCACAUCCUUUGUUGCCUGCAGUAUUUCCCACCACUGUGCCACCUCUGAUAUGCUAAUAGGGAAGCCCAGGGUUUUGUGUGGCUGAAAAGCCUUUCAGGCACAAUCAGUGGGUCAACAAUCUCAACUCUGUACAGCGGCUCAGCCUGCUGUGUGAGAGACUCCUUUCGGAGGGGUCCUUCCUCACACCUUUUCUGUGAGUGUGUCUGUGCUUAAGGAAGGGCAAUUAACCAUCUGGCUGCUUGUCCCCUAGAUAAAUUGACAGAACAUCAAACAGAACAAACUCAUACCUUGAAAAUUGCCGAGUGGCACAUGACUAUCCAGUUCACUCUGUGGAGAAGCCACUAACCAAUGGUCUGUAUCUAAAAAUGACCCAGUGGCCCCAGUUUGUAGUAAAACUUUGAUGAUAGAACUCCAUGCAAAUUCUAUCUCCAUAAUGCUGGUUCUUGAUGUAAAUCUCCCAAUGUAACUGUCAAGGUUUAAAAAUAUCUUACGUAGGUGUUCAGAAUCAUAAGGUCAUAGAAUUAUAAAAUGUUAACUGGCAGAAGUAUUUUCUUCUUUGUCAUAUGAAAAAGAGUAAUUUGCUCAUACUAAGUCUUCAAUAUUUAUGUAUUGGAUUGCAAUUAGCAGGAAUCAAAGGAAUCUUAUAAGGAUCAUUUAUCUAGAAUUAUCUCUAUUUUCUAGAAUUACUUAAUGAUCAUUGUGUCUUUAUUCAGCCUAAGUAACACUGAAAUUUUUCUUCAUUCAAAUAAAUUCAUACUCAUAAAGCCUUUCCCCACUUUGUAUUUCAUAUUCUAAAUGUUUCUACUAGUAUUGUUAACCAUUGCAAAGAAAUACUGUUGCCCUCCAUUAAAACCUGAACUGC
Long non-coding RNA from Cercocebus atys (sooty mangabey), 1682 nucleotides. RefSeq lists it as uncharacterized. The transcript has 4 exons. The record is from RefSeq and is a predicted model, not a curated record. Lineage: Eukaryota; Metazoa; Chordata; Mammalia; Primates; Cercopithecidae.